AGCGGCGGACGGGUGAGUAACGCGUGGGUAACCUGCCUCAUACAGGGGGAUAACAGUUGGAAACGGCUGCUAAUACCGCAUAAGCGCGCAGUACCGCAUGGUACCGUGUGAAAAACUCCGGUGGUAUGAGAUGGACCCGCGUCUGAUUAGCUAGUUGGUGGGGUAACGGCCUACCAAGGCGACGAUCAGUAGCCGACCUGAGAGGGUGACCGGCCACAUUGGGACUGAGACACGGCCCAA
This 240-nucleotide ribosomal RNA is filed under the name uncultured bacterium. RNAcentral's name for it is "partial 16S ribosomal RNA". It matches the Rfam family "Bacterial small subunit ribosomal RNA", at positions 94 to 334 of the family's 1533-position model. The record is from RNAcentral.